GAUGAACGCUGGCGGCGUGCCUAAUACAUGCAAGUCGAGCGAACGGACGAGAAUCUUGCUUUUCUGAUGUUAGCGGCGGACGGGUGAGUAACACGUGGAUAACCUACCUAUAAGACUGGGAUAACUUCGGGAAACCGGAUCUAAUACCGGAUAAUAUUUUGAACCGCAUGGUUCAAAAGUGAAAGACGGUCUUGCUGUCACUUAUAGAUGGAUCCGCGCUGCAUUAGCUAGUUGGUAAGGUAACGGCUUACCAAGGCAACGAUGCAUAGCCGACCUGAGAGGGUGAUCGGCCACACUGGAACUGAGACACGGUCCAGACUCCUACGGGAGGCAGCAGUAGGGAAUCUUCCGCAAUGGGCGAAAGCCUGACGGAGCAACGCCGCGUGAGUGAUGAAGGUCUUCGGAUCGUAAAACUCUGUUAUUAGGGAAGAACAUAUGUGUAAGUAACUGUGCACAUCUUGACGGUACCUAAUCAGAAAGCCACGGCUAACUACGUG
This 497-nucleotide ribosomal RNA is filed under the name uncultured bacterium. RNAcentral's name for it is "partial 16S ribosomal RNA". It matches the Rfam family "Bacterial small subunit ribosomal RNA", at positions 28 to 507 of the family's 1533-position model. The record is from RNAcentral.